GUAAAUAUAGUUUAACAAAAACACUAGAUUGUGGAUCUAGAAACAGAAACUUAAU
RNAcentral lists this transfer RNA (55 nucleotides) under Equus sp. Its description in RNAcentral is "tRNA-His". Lineage: Eukaryota; Metazoa; Chordata; Mammalia; Perissodactyla; Equidae. The record is from RNAcentral.